RNAcentral lists this ribosomal RNA (514 nucleotides) under uncultured bacterium. RNAcentral's name for it is "partial 16S ribosomal RNA". It matches the Rfam family "Bacterial small subunit ribosomal RNA", at positions 30 to 523 of the family's 1533-position model. The record is from RNAcentral.
AUUGAACGCUGGCGGCAUGCCUAACACAUGCAAGUCGAACGGCAGCACAGUUUCACCGCAAGGUGAAAUGGGUGGCGAGUGGCGGACGGGUGAGUAAUACAUAGGAAUCUGCCUCGAAGAGGGGGACAACUCCGCGAAAGCGGAGCUAAUACCGCAUAAUGUCUACGGACGAAAGCCGCCACGCCUUUGGCGUGGUAGUACUUUGCGAUGAGCCUAUGUUGGAUUAGCUAGUUGGUGAGGUAAAGGCUCACCAAGGCGACGAUCCAUAACUGGUCUGAGGGGAUGAUCAGUCACACUGGAACUGAGACACGGUCCAGACUCCUACGGGAGGCAGCAGUGGGGAAUUAUGGACAAUGGGGGAAACCCUGAUCCAGCAAUGCCGCGUGUGUGAAGAAGGCCUUCGGGUUGUAAAGCACUUUUAGUGGGGAGGAACAAGGUUUGUUUGAAUAAAACAAGCCCUUGACGUUACCCACAGAAAAAGCACCGGCUAACUCUGUGCCAGCCGCCGCCGUAA